UCUGAGGGUCCAGGGUUCAAGUC
Molecule: non-coding RNA, 23 nt
Filed under: Cricetulus griseus (Chinese hamster)
Lineage: Eukaryota; Metazoa; Chordata; Mammalia; Rodentia; Cricetidae
Also listed under: 1 other name
Source: RNAcentral